This 565-nucleotide ribosomal RNA is filed under the name uncultured archaeon. RNAcentral's name for it is "bacterial SSU rRNA". It matches the Rfam family "Archaeal small subunit ribosomal RNA", at positions 314 to 879 of the family's 1478-position model. The record is from RNAcentral.
GCAAUCGCCCUUCGGGGUGCAGCAGGCGCGAAAACUUUACAAUGCCGGCAACGGCGAUUAGGGGACCUCGAGUGCCAGGUUACAAAUCUGGCUGUCGAGAUGCCUAAAAAGCAUUUCAUAGCAAGGGCCGGGCAAGACCGGUGCCAGCCGCCGCGGUAACACCGGCGGCUCGAGUGGUAACCGUUAUUAUUGGGUCUAAAGGGUCUGUAGCCGGCCGGAUAAGUCUCUUGGGAAAUCCAGCAGCUCAACUGUUGGGCUUUCAGGAGAUACUGUCUGGCUCGAGGCCGGGAGAGGUGAGAGGUACUUCAGGGGUAGGGGUGAAAUCUUGUAAUCCUUGAAGGACCACCAGUGGCGAAGGCGUCUCACCAGAACGGACCUGACGGCAAGGGACGAAAGCUAGGGGCACGAACCGGAUUAGAUACCCGGGUAGUCCUAGCCGUAAACGAUACUCGCUAGGUGUCGGCCACGGUGCGACCGUUGUCGGUGCCGUAGGGAAGCCGUGAAGCGAGCCACCUGGGAAGUACGGCCGCAAGGCUGAAACUUAAAGGAAUUGGCGGGGGAGCAC